AGAGUUUCUGAAGUGGUUUCAUGCCUUAAAAGUACACAUGCGUUCAAGCACGAUCUCAUCUCUGAGUUAGAGUAAACUGUUAAGACUUAAAACUUACUUAUUUUACCUUUCACCAUGGGGCUUGCAACCGUCACUUGGGUCUUGAGCAGUUAAAAGAUAGAACAGUCUAGUCAAGUGCCAUGUCUCUUUUUCUUUGGUUAACUAUAGCUCUGGAGUUUUUGCAGAUUUUCAAAUAAAACUCAAAUUCCUUGUAUGACUCUCUCAAAUCUAUCUUUUGUAGUAUUUCUGGAUCCUUACCAAGGCAGUAAUGGUAUAUGCCUUCUCUCAAAGUAUGUGGUAUUUUUGGUAUGAGGCAUAGUGAUAUUGCCUUCUCUCUACCCUACUCUUAUAAGGUUUUGAUAUUCGGAGCUCAUAGGUGGGAGACAGAUAAUACAUACUUACAAGACAUUUAUUGCAUAGUCAAACCAUGGAUCUAGAAGAACAAGUCAAUAAGUCAAAUCAAGAUGUGCAUGUGUGGCAAGUGAAUGGUGUAUGGUGAUGAUGGUGAUAACAAUGGUGAAAGUCUAAUUCUACUUUUGCUCUUUUUAGGGGAUACAUACCUUUCUUGCACUUUGAAGCUUUUUUUGAGGAGAAUGAGAUGCUCUAUAUUUUUUUCUUUUCUCUCAGGUGGGUAUCUUGUACCCCUAAUUCUACUGUCGGACACUUGUCCAUUUUACCUCUCGUCUCACUUUUUCUUUUCUUCGAGGUUCCGCGCACUUGCCCCUUUUUAUUUCCUCGUAUUUUUCCUUUUUUUCAGAGCACUCACCCUCCUAGAAUAAUGUAGCAAGUGGUUGUAUCCAAAAUAUCUCGAGCAUUUAUUUCACAGGGAAUAACAGGGAUAGGAAAAAGUUUUUGGCUAUUCUCUCCUAGAUAUUAGUAGAAUAAUUUUAGGUGAAUCUGGAGAUGGAAUUGAAUAGAUGUAUGUGGAUGCAUACUUCCGGAGUAGAAGUAACAUGUAUGAGUGAACGUGCAAGUGAAUUUUGAUUUUAACUGCAUGAGAAGCUCCUAGGGUCUACACAGCUUGACCACACUCAAUGCUCAUAAGCAGUAAAAAGUAAAUGUAUGGUUCUUAGUCUAAUAAGCAUGUAUGUAUGGCUGUGGUAGUAAUUUAAACUCUUAUCAUAUAGGAACUCAUCAUGCAAUAUUUUAAAUAUUUUCAAAGAUAAAAUUCUCCAGAAUUCUAGCAACUCUAGGAACAGAUAAACAGCAUCUCAACCUUUCCAUAUCAUAUCCGUUAACGACUUAGACUUUAGAUCAAGUACUCUUCCCACAAGUUCAGGUUUAGAGCAGGUUUAAAUUUAUAACAGUUAUGCCU
Molecule: long non-coding RNA, 1354 nt
Filed under: Sorghum bicolor (sorghum)
Lineage: Eukaryota; Viridiplantae; Streptophyta; Magnoliopsida; Poales; Poaceae
Description: long non-coding RNA (SBIC_LNC005144)
Source: RNAcentral